Molecule: unclassified non-coding RNA, 27 nt
Filed under: Mus musculus (house mouse)
Lineage: Eukaryota; Metazoa; Chordata; Mammalia; Rodentia; Muridae
Description: oocyte_clustered_small_RNA12376
Source: RNAcentral
AUUGGUCAUUGUUCUACAGGAAGAUCC